Molecule: ribosomal RNA, 460 nt
Filed under: uncultured bacterium
Lineage: Bacteria
Description: partial 16S ribosomal RNA
Rfam family: Bacterial small subunit ribosomal RNA
Source: RNAcentral
CCUACGGGAGGCUGCAGUGAGGAAUAUUGGUCAAUGGACGAGAGUCUGAACCAGCCAAGUAGCGUGAAGGAUGACUGCCCUAUGGGUUGUAAACUUCUUUUAUAUGGGAAUAAAACGUUCCACGUGUGGGAUUUUGUAUGUACCAUAUGAAUAAGGAUCGGCUAACUCCGUGCCAGCAGCCGCGGUAAUACGGAGGAUCCGAGCGUUAUCCGGAUUUAUUGGGUUUAAAGGGAGCGUAGGUGGAUUGUUAAGUCAGUUGUGAAAGUUUGCGGCUCAACCGUAAAAUUGCAGUUGAAACUGGCAGUCUUGAGUACAGUAGAGGUGGGCGGAAUUCGUGGUGUAGCGGUGAAAUGCUUAGAUAUCACGAAGAACUCCGAUUGCGAAGGCAGUUCACUGGACUGCAACUGACACUGAGGCUUGAAAGUGUGGGUAUCAAACAGGAUUAGAUACCCCUGUAGUC